Molecule: ribosomal RNA, 253 nt
Filed under: uncultured bacterium
Lineage: Bacteria
Description: partial 16S ribosomal RNA
Rfam family: Bacterial small subunit ribosomal RNA
Source: RNAcentral
UACGGAGGGUGCGAGCGUUGUCCGGAAUCACUGGGCGUAAAGGGCGCGUAGGCGGCAGCCCAAGUCGGUGGUGAAAGCCCGUGGCUCAACUGCGGGUCGGCCACCGAUACUGGGUAGCUUGAGCACGGUAGAGGCAGGUGGAAUUCCGGGUGUAGCGGUGAAAUGCGUAGAUAUCGGGAGGAACACCAGUGGCGAAGGCGACUUCCUGGCCUGUUCUUGACGCUGAGGCGCGAAAGCUAGGGGAGCAAACGGG